Molecule: ribosomal RNA, 582 nt
Filed under: Enterobacter hormaechei
Lineage: Bacteria; Pseudomonadati; Pseudomonadota; Gammaproteobacteria; Enterobacterales; Enterobacteriaceae
Description: bacterial SSU rRNA
Rfam family: Bacterial small subunit ribosomal RNA
Source: RNAcentral
CUGGGAAACUGCCUGAUGGAGGGGGAUAACUACUGGAAACGGUAGCUAAUACCGCAUAACGUCGCAAGACCAAAGAGGGGGACCUUCGGGCCUCUUGCCAUCGGAUGUGCCCAGAUGGGAUUAGCUAGUAGGUGGGGUAACGGCUCACCUAGGCGACGAUCCCUAGCUGGUCUGAGAGGAUGACCAGCCACACUGGAACUGAGACACGGUCCAGACUCCUACGGGAGGCAGCAGUGGGGAAUAUUGCACAAUGGGCGCAAGCCUGAUGCAGCCAUGCCGCGUGUAUGAAGAAGGCCUUCGGGUUGUAAAGUACUUUCAGCGGGGAGGAAGGCGAUAAGGUUAAUAACCUUGUCGAUUGACGUUACCCGCAGAAGAAGCACCGGCUAACUCCGUGCCAGCAGCCGCGGUAAUACGGAGGGUGCAAGCGUUAAUCGGAAUUACUGGGCGUAAAGCGCACGCAGGCGGUCUGUCAAGUCGGAUGUGAAAUCCCCGGGCUCAACCUGGGAACUGCAUUCGAAACUGGCAGGCUAGAGUCUUGUAGAGGGGGGUAGAAUUCCAGGUGUAGCGGUGAAAUGCGUAGAG